This 469-nucleotide ribosomal RNA is filed under the name uncultured bacterium. Its description in RNAcentral is "partial 16S ribosomal RNA". It matches the Rfam family "Bacterial small subunit ribosomal RNA", at positions 28 to 507 of the family's 1533-position model. The record is from RNAcentral.
GACGAACGCUGGCGGCGUGCUUAACACAUGCAAGUCGAACGGAAAGGCCCUGCUUGCCGGGUGCUCGAGUGGCGAACGGGUGAGUAACACGUGGGUGAUCUGCCCCUUACUUUGGGAUAAGCCUGGGAAACUGGGUCUAAUACUGGAUAGGACCAUGCUGUAGGUGGUGUGGUGGAAAGAUUAGUUUCGGUAAGGGAUGAGCUCGCGGCCUAUCAGCUUGUUGGUGGGGUAAUGGCCUACCAAGGCGUCGACGGGUAGCCGGCCUGAGAGGGUGGACGGCCACAUUGGGACUGAGAUACGGCCCAGACUCCUACGGGAGGCAGCAGUGGGGAAUAGUGCACAAUGGGCGCAAGCCUGAUGCAGCGACGCCGCGUGGGGGAUGACGGCCUUCGGGUUGUAAACUCCUUUCAGCCAUGACGAAGCCCUUGUGGUGACGGUAGUGGCAGAAGAAGCACCGGCUAACUACGUG